Molecule: ribosomal RNA, 365 nt
Filed under: Escherichia coli
Lineage: Bacteria; Pseudomonadati; Pseudomonadota; Gammaproteobacteria; Enterobacterales; Enterobacteriaceae
Description: partial 23S ribosomal RNA
Rfam family: Bacterial large subunit ribosomal RNA
Source: RNAcentral
AUCGGGGCAGGGUGAGUCGACCCCUAAGGCGAGGCCGAAAGGCGUAGUCGAUGGGAAACAGGUUAAUAUUCCUGUACUUGGUGUUACUGCGAAGGGGGGACGGAGAAGGCUAUGUUGGCCGGGCGACGGUUGUCCCGGUUUAAGCGUGUAGGCUGGUUUUCCAGGCAAAUCCGGAAAAUCAAGGCUGAGGCGUGAUGACGAGGCACUACGGUGCUGAAGCAACAAAUGCCCUGCUUCCAGGAAAAGCCUCUAAGCAUCAGGUAACAUCAAAUCGUACCCCAAACCGACACAGGUGGUCAGGUAGAGAAUACCAAGGCGCUUGAGAGAACUCGGGUGAAGGAACUAGGCAAAAUGGUGCCGUAACU